Oryctolagus cuniculus (rabbit) is the source of this 3223-nucleotide non-coding RNA. The record is from RefSeq and is a predicted model, not a curated record. NCBI's taxonomy places the organism in Eukaryota, Metazoa, Chordata, Mammalia, Lagomorpha, Leporidae.
GUAGUCAGGCUGGGAGAUGCGGGCCGUCCUGAGCCACCCCACCGCAGCCCCCGCGAUGGACAGAGGAGAGAGGACCCCCACCCCCAUCCCCCUCACCUUGCGAGUUGACAGCGUUCUGGGAAAAUGAACAGGGGAUCUGGCCGUGCGCCCCACCGACAGAGGCUGGAUAGAAACCCCCACGUGCCGGCUGCAGUCUGCGGAGAAGGAGGCGCGCCCUGAGUGUGCCACUAGGGGGCGCAGUCAGGGGUCCAGACCCCAGGGUGCCUGAUCCCGAGCGCAGGGGGCUGGCUUUCCCCAUCCCAGAACCCUGCGCUCUCUGGCUCCGGCCUCAGUGGAGGGACAGGUGUGAGAGGAGGAGCCAGCUGAGGGCCCCUCUCUGCCUGGAGUGUGCUUAGUCCCACUCUCCAAGCCUGCAUCUCGGCUCCCGCUCCCGGCCAGGACUCACGCCGGGAGGCAGCAGGGGGGGUUCCAGGACCUGGGACCCUUACCACCCGUGUUGGAAGACCUGGAUGGAGUUCCUGGCUCCUGGCUCUGGCCGGGUCCUGUUCUGGCUGUUGCGGGCAGCUGGGGAGUGAACCAGCAGAUGGAAGAUUCUCUCUCUCCCUCUCUCUCUCUGGCCCCUGCCUCUCUCCGUCUCCACCUGGAGAGGCACUGUGGCUUCUCCAGCCCUUGGUACGAUCCUAUGGACCCCAGGACUGAGGAGAUGGGCUCCUGUUUGCUCAGUAUGAGGCAGGGGGCAGUGAGGAGGGUGCCCUGGGAGUGACCUACUGAUCUGCUUCCAUGCCAAAGGCACGGGUCACAGCAGGACAGCCCUGGGAGGGGGAGGGGGUUCCUCUUGCCCAAGUUGGCCCAGUAUCUGUGGUCACAUCAAAGCAGCAGGGAGCAGCCCGGCUUGCAGACAGAAUGUUCUCUCGGGUCUCCUUGAUUCUCCCAUUGUUCAGGGAGGUGAGUAGGGCAGAGGCAGCGAGCAUAGCUAAAACAAUAUUUAUUUUGUUUAUUUGAAAGGCAGAAUUGGAGAGGGAGAGAGAGAGAGAGAUCUUCCAUCCACUCUCCAAAUGGCCAGGACUGGGCCAGGCCAAAGCAAGGAGCCUGGAACUCCAUCCAGGUCUCCCACAUGGGUGGCAGGGCCCCAGGCACUUGGGCCAUCUUCCACUGCUUUCCCAGGUGCAUUAGCAGGGAGCUGGAUCGGAAGUGGAGCAGCUGGGCAUGUACUGGUGCCCAUAUGGGAUACCUGUGCCACAUCGGUGGAGGCUUAAACCGCUGUGCCAUGGUGCCAUCUCCAUUUUUAGUCUUAGCCUGUUGGGACUGAUGAACCGAGCCCAGAGCAGCCAAGGGCUUUGACCAGGGGCUCACGGCAUGUCUGUGCCGUGGAGCUGAGGGACCUCCGGUGCUGGGUGCCUGGUAUGCCCCAACCCGGACCUCCAAAGGGAAGGAGCGACUCCCGUGUCCCUUUUAUAGACUGGGAAAGAGGUUCAUGGGGGAUCCACUCCACCCGUCUACACUGCCUGCGUGUGAGUCAGGAGCCCUGAGUUCAAGUCUGGAAGCAGGCAGGGUUCGCCCUGAGGGUCGGUGGGGGUCGGAUAAGAGCAGGGGCAUCAACUGGGUGCUGGCCUUGACUUUGCAGAGGCACUUCCUGUGGGGUUCAGCCCCCCUGCCCCACUAAAUCCCACGCAGCCCAAGGCCGUUGAUCUCUUUCCCCUUGCUUGGUCCUAGACAACAUGGCCGCUGCUCUGCUGUGUGACGUUGGGUCGGAGUCCUCCCCUUUCUGAGCCUCCAUUGUCUACUUUGUAAGACGAGAGGGCGCAGUUUUGCUCUAAACUCUAAAAGUGCGUUUUUUAAAAUUCUUUCCUGGGUCCUUAUGGGCAACACAGGAGACAGGAGCAGAGCUGUUCCUGCUGACGGGGGGUGGGGCCUCCUACCUGGCCCCGCCCCCAGCCUGGCUCAGCGGUGCCCGUGGGAAUCUAGCCUGGGACCUGGGGCUGACCUUGGCUGACCUUGGCCCCGGGGAGAGCUGAGCUGUCUCCUCCAGUUCCCCAGAGGCAGGAGGUGACACCUUCACCCGUCUCUGCUGGACCCCGACAGACAGCAGCCCAGCCACCACCCUUACCCCAAACACACACAAGCUUUGUGCACCCCACCCUCACCCCAGGAAGUUCCAAGAGUUCCUGGGAAAUGAAAGUUGAAAAAAAAAUAGCUUUUUUUGGUGCAAAAAAAUUUAUGCAGCCCCUUCAAAAAGCUCACGGAAGAUGGGUGUUAUGAAACACACACACACACACACACACACACACAGCCCCACGCUUGGAUUUCACAGUGUUUUUGCAUCCCAAGAAGCUCAUCUUUGAAUUACAACUGAAUUGGGGCUCCUGGUGUUGGUGGGGUCUGGGGGAGAGGUCAGGGGAAUGGGGAAGCCCCUGCGUUCCUGUGGGCAGGUGAGGGCACUCCUGGUGUUGGUGGGGUCUGGGGGAGAGGUCAGGGGAAUGGGGAAGCCCCUGCGUUCCUGUGGGCAGGUGAGGGCACUCCUGGUGUUGGUGGGGUCUGGGGGAGAGGUCAGGGGAAUGGGGAAGCCCCUGCGUUCCUGUGGGCAGGUGAGGGCACUCCUGGUGUUGGUGGGGUCUGGGGGAGAGGUCAGGGGAAUGGGGAAGCCCCUGCGUUCCUGUGGGCAGGUGAGGGCACUCCUGGUGUUGGUGGGGUCUGGGGGAGAGGUCUGGGGAAUGGGGAAGCCCCUGCGUUCCUGUGGGCAGGUGAGGGCACUCCUGGUGUUGGUGGGGUCUGGGGGAGAGGUCAGGGGAAUGGGGAAGCCCCUGCGUUCCUGUGGGCAGGUGAGGGCACUCCUGGUGUUGGUGGGGUCUGGGGGAGAGGUCAGGGGAAUGGGGAAGCCCCUGCGUUCCUGUGGGCAGGUGAGGGCACCCUGGUGUUGGUGGGGUCUGGGGGAGAGGUCUGGGGAAUGGGGAAGCCCCUGCGUUCCUGUGGGCAGGUGAGGGCACUCCUGGUGUUGGUGGGGUCUGGGGGAGAGGUCAGGGGAAUGGGGAAGCCCCUGCGUUCCUGUGGGCAGGUGAGGGCACUCCUGGUGUUGGUGGGGUCUGGGGGAGAGGUCAGGGGAAUGGGGAAGCCCCUGCGUUCCUGUGGGCAGGUGAGGGCACUCCUGGUGUUGGUGGGGUCUGGGGGAGAGGUCAGGGGAAUGGGGAAGCCCCUGCGUUCCUGUGGGCAGGUGAGGGCACUCCUG